RNAcentral lists this long non-coding RNA (843 nucleotides) under Equus caballus (horse). RNAcentral's name for it is "lncRNA (ENSECAG00000047044.1)". Lineage: Eukaryota; Metazoa; Chordata; Mammalia; Perissodactyla; Equidae. The record is from RNAcentral.
GCUACAUGAGCAGUGAUGAGUGGGAGAUCAGCAAGACUCAAAGCAAGUUCAAGGAAUAGCUGUUUUAAGUGCUGGAACCCUGCAGGGUUGACACUUCCACCAAAGAUGUGGUUUGCCACUGUUACUCAAGUUAUAUAACACAGAGUUCUUUCACUUCAUGGGUUCGACCAAUCCAAUGGAUGGUGAUUGCUGACUCAGAUAAAAGAGUUCCCUGGGAGAAAAUCAAUCACAAAGAUUGCUGGAAUUUCCUUGUGGAAUUUAUGGUUACUCACAUUUUCUGGCUUUGAGAUUCUCCUGACUGUGCUCCCUGAUCUCUGAAUUGGCCUUGACGUGUUCUAGACUUUAAUCUUCUCAGUUUAACUAUUUGGAUUAUAGGAGCUGCAUUUAAGUUGGAAUGUUUCCUGGCGGCCCGUGUUGCUCCUCAAGACAUUCUGAGUCCACCACCUGGAAGAGGACUGCUGCGUAUGAUUGUGUUGUUUGUGUUCUUUGGACAAGUGCAAGCCGUGUUACUGAAGAAGUAUGCAAUAGCAGAAAGAAGACAGGACAAAUGUCAGGAGACUCGUGCCCAGAGGGGCUGUGAAACUUUGGACUAGCAAUUUAGCUCCUCUCAGAUGAGAAGAUCAUUGCCCGAAAGAUAAAAUAAUUUGCACAAAAUGGAGAGUGGAACUAGAAUCCAGAAACCCUAACUCCAAGUCCAGUUAUUAUAUUGGCAUACAUGCUAUGUGAUACGUUUUCCUUUCCAUUCCAGUCUCCAAAACCAAUAACCAUCGUGUGCAGUGACCCCAUCUACGAGAGCAUCAGGGCCCCAUGCUCAGAAGAUGUCCUGUGUUUGAGGUUUAAUGC